AUCUACGGCCAUACUACCCUGAAUACGCCCGAUCUCGUCUGAUCUUGGAAGCUAAGCAGGGUCAUGCCUGGUUAGUACUUGGAUGGGAGACCACCUGGGAAUACCGGGUGCCGUUGGAU
RNAcentral lists this ribosomal RNA (119 nucleotides) under Podarcis muralis (Common wall lizard). Lineage: Eukaryota; Metazoa; Chordata; Lepidosauria; Squamata; Lacertidae. The record is from RNAcentral.